Molecule: unclassified non-coding RNA, 345 nt
Filed under: Hevea brasiliensis (rubber tree)
Lineage: Eukaryota; Viridiplantae; Streptophyta; Magnoliopsida; Malpighiales; Euphorbiaceae
Source: RNAcentral
GCACAAACUCCACAUUUUCCUUGCUUUUUGAAAGGAACAAAACAAAUACUAGUUAAUUUGGAAAUGAGACAAAGGAGAGGGAUAAAAGAAAAUACAAAAUGUUGAAUUUAAGAUAAACAUCAGCCAAGAACUCCACUGAAGAUACAAUGAUUAUGAUUUGAUAUUAAUGUUUCAAAAAAUUGACAGACACGUGAAAAACCAAAAUAAUUGAGAUAAUAAAAUGUAAAUGAUUGAAAAUUGAGCUCUGAAAAGAAUGGUAUCCUUAAAAGAAUCAACACCAUAAAGAAUAAAACCUAAAAAAGAAGUUUCAAUAUGUAAUUAUACUCCUGCAAUACCUGUUAGGAA